This 349-nucleotide unclassified non-coding RNA is filed under the name soil metagenome. RNAcentral describes it as "partial contains 5.8S ribosomal RNA, internal transcribed spacer 2, and large subunit ribosomal RNA". The stretch from base 1 to 120 matches the Rfam family "5.8S ribosomal RNA", at positions 35 to 154 of the family's 154-position model. The record is from RNAcentral.
GAUGAAGAACGCAGCGAAAUGCGAUAACUAAUGUGAAUUGCAGAAUUCCGUGAAUCAUCGAGUCUUUGAACGCACAUUGCGCCCCCUGGUAUUCCGGGGGGCAUGCCUGUCCGGGCGUCAUUGCUGCCCAUCAAGCACGGCUUGUGUGUUGGGUCCUCGUCCCCCCCGGGGGACGUGCCCGAAAGGCAGCGGCGGCACCGCGUCCGGUCCUCGAGCGUAUGGGGCUUUGUCACCCGCUCUGCAGGCCCGGCCGGCGCUGGCCGACGCGAAAGCAACCAUUUUUUCUCCAGGUUGACCUCGGAUCAGGUAGGGAUACCCGCUGAACUUAAGCAUAUCAAUAAGCGGAGGA